This 121-nucleotide non-coding RNA is filed under the name Palpitomonas bilix. The record is from RNAcentral.
UGGUGAACUCCGUCUCCGUCCUGAAUGCAAGCACCAAAGAUGACGUCUAUCUUGAAACGAACGAAGAUCUGUUGAAAACGUGUGACACCCAAAUCGUGUCGUGGUUCAUGAAAGAAAGGAA